Long non-coding RNA from Symphalangus syndactylus (siamang), 563 nucleotides. RefSeq lists it as uncharacterized. Lineage: Eukaryota; Metazoa; Chordata; Mammalia; Primates; Hylobatidae. The record is from RefSeq and is a predicted model, not a curated record.
UGGUCAGCCAUACUGGCCUUUCCAGUCCUGGACCUAGUCAUUCUAGUCCCCACCUCAGGGCCUUUGUAAUUCUUGUCUCAAGCACUGUUCCCCCAGUUUCUGAGUAGCUGGCUGCUGCUUCUCCUUGGGGGCUCAGUUCAAAUGACCACUCUACUGUAGUGGCUCCUGUUUAUUCAUAUGAUCCUGUUUCUUUUUUUUUUUUAAUUUAAAAAUAAGUAUUUUUUUCCUUCUUAGAGAUGGGGUCUCGCUAUAUUGCCCAGAUGGGUCUCGAGCUUCUGGGCUCAAGUGAUCUGCCGCCUGAGCCUUCCAAAGUGCUGGAUUACAGGAAGCCAGGUUCCGUGUUGUGAGCUGCUGUAUGGAGAGGCACAUGUGGCAUAACUGAAUCUUGCCAACAAUUGUGCUCGGAAGUGAAUCACCCUUUCCCCAUCCCCGUUGAGCUUUCAGAUGCAGCACCUUAACUACAGCCUCAUGAGAGACUAAGCCAGAGGCACCUAGAUAAGGAGAACACAGAUUACUGAACCACAACAACUGUGAGAUAAUAAAUAUUUGUUAUUUUCAGCCAA